Molecule: transfer RNA, 57 nt
Filed under: Imbribryum alpinum
Lineage: Eukaryota; Viridiplantae; Streptophyta; Bryopsida; Bryales; Bryaceae
Also listed under: 2 other names
Description: partial tRNA-Leu
Source: RNAcentral
GGACUUGAAAAUCCGUUGGCUUUAUUGACCGUGAGGGUUCAAGUCCCUCUACCCCCA